Long non-coding RNA from Cyprinus carpio (common carp), 973 nucleotides. The record is from Ensembl. NCBI's taxonomy places the organism in Eukaryota, Metazoa, Chordata, Actinopteri, Cypriniformes, Cyprinidae.
AUGGAGCAGCUCUUUUUUCUUCUCAUUCCCCUGUUUGCAUCUUCAUCCAUAAUCUCAGCAGGAAAUGACACAAACAUAUCAACUACAGUACCUCCAAACACAACUGCUACGUCUCCAUUGUCUGUUGUUUCAAGAGCAGAAGUCCAAAAAAAUGUGACUUCGUCAUCUCAACAUGAGAAUGGCAUGACCACUCACCCCUCAAAAAAUGUGAGCACAACCACAGCUCCUGUGUCUUCUAGCCACACAGGCAGUACUGAUGGAUCCAGCCUCACUUCGCAUACCACAUCAGGACAGUCCAUCAUCACCAGCUCAACGUUAACCACACUAAAAUCCAACGCUGACUCAACUCUAAAUUCCACCUCAUCCCCAGUGACCAAAAUAACAGGCAGUACUGAUGGAUCCGGCCUCUCUUCACAUAAAACAACAGUGGGUGUUACUCCAAAGACUUUAAAUACUGCUAAUUCAAACAUCAGCAUGUCAGAGGUGACGGCAACACCUUCACAGGCACCAGACAGCGGUCUCACUUUGCUCGCCUUUGGUGUGAUGAGUUUCAUACUCAUUUUAAUUGUUGUCAUGGGGGUCUUGGUGACUGCUAUCAACCUCAGGGGACGGUGUAGAAAUACUAAACAGCACGAGAGUAUUAAAAGCUGUGAUCCUGUGGUGUCUGACAGCAGCACAACCAGCAACUUUGAGAAAGAGAGCAUCACUCUUGUCUCUGUGAGGACUAUAAACACAGAAAACAAUACAGAUUCUCCUCAGAUGUCUUCAGUUCGUAGCACUAUAGUGGAUAAUGAUGACCAAGAAUUUACCAGAGACCUACUGGGCAUCAAAGACGGACUGUGAUUUUACUCAGUUCGUAGUGCACAAGAUUGGAGGCUACAUACUCUAUUUAUAAUACAAACCCGAUUCCAAAAAAGUUGGGACACUGUACAAAUUGUGAAUAAAUACAGAAUGCAAUGAUGUGGAAGUUUCA